RNAcentral lists this ribosomal RNA (336 nucleotides) under Triticum aestivum (bread wheat). RNAcentral describes it as "partial small subunit ribosomal RNA". Lineage: Eukaryota; Viridiplantae; Streptophyta; Magnoliopsida; Poales; Poaceae. The record is from RNAcentral.
AUGCAUAAGGGAAGAUUUGAAUCUAUACUAGAGAGGUUAAGCAAAAUUUUGGUUGAUUGGAGUGAACAAUACAUGUCUUUUGGGAGUAAGGAGAUUUUGAUUAAGUUUGUGGCUCAGGCAAUACCCACUUAUGUGAUGAGCGUAUUUCGACUGCCAGCUUCCAUUUGUGAUGAAAUGAAUCACUUGAUGCGACAGUACUGGUGGGGUGUUGAGAAGGGCAAAAGAAAAAUGUCAUGGCUGAGUUGGGAUAAGAUGAUUUUGCCAAAGUCCAAGGGCGGCAUGGGAUUUAGAGACAUGCGUGCCUUUAACCAAGCUUUGUUGGCCAAACAAGCUUAG